AGUUGUGGGUGUAACGUACCUACUAGCCUGCGACCGGUACGGGUUGUGAGAGCAAGAGCCCGGAGAUGGAUUCUGAGACACGAAUCCAGGCCCUACGGGGUGCAGCAGGCGCGAAAACUUUACAAUGCGGGCAACCGCGAUAAGGGAACCCCGAGUGCCACGUUACACAG
RNAcentral lists this ribosomal RNA (170 nucleotides) under uncultured archaeon. RNAcentral describes it as "partial 16S ribosomal RNA". It matches the Rfam family "Archaeal small subunit ribosomal RNA", at positions 231 to 400 of the family's 1478-position model. The record is from RNAcentral.